Molecule: ribosomal RNA, 423 nt
Filed under: Klebsiella pneumoniae
Lineage: Bacteria; Pseudomonadati; Pseudomonadota; Gammaproteobacteria; Enterobacterales; Enterobacteriaceae
Description: bacterial SSU rRNA
Rfam family: Bacterial small subunit ribosomal RNA
Source: RNAcentral
GCAGUGGGGAAUUUUCCGCAAUGGGCGAAAGCCUGACGGAGCAAUACCGCGUGAGGGAAGACGGCCUAUGGGUUGUAAACCUCUUUUUUCAGGGAGGAACAAAAUGACGUGUACCUGAAGAAUAAGCAUCGGCUAACUCCGUGCCAGCAGCCGCGGUAAGACGGAGGAUGCAAGUGUUAUCCGGAAUCACUGGGCGUAAAGCGUCUGUAGGUGGUUUGUUAAGUCAACUGUUAAAUCUUGAGGCUCAACUUCAAAUCAGCAGUCGAAACUAUCAGACUAGAGUAUAGUAGGGGUAAAGGGAAUUUCCAGUGGAGCGGUGAAAUGCGUAGAUAUUGGAAAGAACACCGAUGGCGAAGGCACUUUACUGGGCUAUUACUAACACUCAGAGACGAAAGCUAGGGUAGCAAAUGGGAUUAGAUACCC